Molecule: non-coding RNA, 991 nt
Organism: Peromyscus maniculatus bairdii (prairie deer mouse)
Lineage: Eukaryota; Metazoa; Chordata; Mammalia; Rodentia; Cricetidae
Source: RefSeq, a predicted model, not a curated record
GAAAAAUGUAGGUUUUAAAGAGGCCGGGACUACAGGAUUGCAAUAGAAGCUUCAGGACACUCCGGUUUGGCGGAAGCCGACCUGACAGCGGCAAGCUUGGACAUCUCCCCGGCAACCAGGAUGACUGACAGCACGGUCCUCCGUCAGCACCGCCUUUCACGACUUAACCUGCUUCCCGGCCAAGCGUGCAGGAACAGUCUUGCCGGGAAGCCUCUUGGGGUUUUCCCCCGCCAGUGUGACUUGGGGAGUUCAGAUCUGUACGCACUGGGAUCGUUUUAGAAACUCCGAGGGCACAAACAGAUGGCGUUGCGACCCAGACUGUAUCGUUCCGUCAUCUUUGGCAGGCGAUAAGAGCGACUUCCUCCAAGGUGCUCUAGAGCGACUUCCGCCAGGGCUGAGCUCUCCAGCUGGAGGCAGAAACAGCCAGCUGCGGACCACACAGGAAAGCAGGCUUGACCCUCUGCCCCUCAGUUAGUUCUUUUUCCUCUUCCUCACUCUGACCAGCAGUAUGCACGGCCUUGGAAUUCUAGCCAGAUCUACGGGGCCAUGGAGAGGAACGAAGGAGCUGAGGGGGCAAGAUGACUUGUUUCGUUUUUUUUUUUAAAGGCUUAUUUAUUUUUAUUUGGUGCAUCUGAAUGUUUGCCUGAAUGAAUGUAUGUGCACCACAUGCAUGAACUUCCCUUAGAGGAUAGAAGAGAGCAUAAGACCCCCAGAAAUGCAGUUACAGACAGCUGUGAGCCGCCAUUGCAUGCUGAGAGUUGAACCCUGCUCCCCUGGAAGCAGUCAGUGCUCUUACCACUGAGCCACCUCUGUUAUUAUUCCUGGCCACUUCUGGAGUCACGUGACUGUGCAUGUGCUGUCAGCAGUCAGACAAAACGCUUAGUCACCCCAGGGCCUUACACCCCCUGACCCCCCACCACACACACCUUUCUUUUCCGUAGGCCUACCCACCUCUACCCUUCCCUAAUAAAAACUCUUACAGUGGGCUCCA